GAAGUAGAACUUGUUACGACUCUUUAAAAACUUCGGAAGCAGAAUAGUCGACAUGUAUACAUUUACAUUGAAAUUAUAUGAACAUUCAUGAAUACGAUUUCUCACUUCUUCGAACUCUUUGUUUGCAUUUCUAUGUACAGCAAUCAAGAAAAUUUUACAACUUUCGUUAAAUAAGCGUUGCUCAGAUUUUUUAGGGCAACUUACUUCUCCGUUCGUUUCUCUUGCUUUGAUACACGUAUUUUAAUUGUCUCGUUUUUCGUGAGAAAUACUUCAGAAAAGGUGAAUUUGUUGUUGCUCGACGAUCGUCAUCCGUAACGCAUCCACGAAUCUGGUUAAUUCUUCCAUUAAGAAUUUCUUUGGACUGUCUUUCCCUCGAAUACCUACACCUACAGCAUCAUUUCCACCACUGUUUCGACGCCGCUGCCACUGCCACCACUCUACAAACGGACUAUUUUACCGUUCAAACUCAUUCGUCAUCGUGGCAGUUUCUGCUUUCCUAUUUCACGCGGAACACGUUUCUCUUUAUUCUAACCUUUUACGAGGAGACUGAUGCACACAAGAUGCUUGUCGCGCAAAACUAUUUCAACAGACUCAACUUGUAUGCUCGGCGGAAAAUGUUCGUCUGUAAACAAUAACAGCUGUUCUUGUUGCACGCGCCAUGUUGUAACUAUAUGCAGAACAUAUUUUAUAUAGGAUUAUGAUACUUGAUUAAGAAGUAUAGGUAAAGCAUUUAUACAUCAUUAUAAACAAUUUUCAAAAAUUGAAAAUGUAUUGUUUGUAUAUUCAAAAAAUGAUCAAUUAAAGCAGUGUACACAUAAGAUAGAAUUAACAAAAAUAAAUAUAACUUUAUUUAAGAAA
Molecule: long non-coding RNA, 858 nt
Organism: Megalopta genalis
Lineage: Eukaryota; Metazoa; Arthropoda; Insecta; Hymenoptera; Halictidae
Source: RefSeq, a predicted model, not a curated record